RNAcentral lists this non-coding RNA (26 nucleotides) under Homo sapiens (human). The record is from RNAcentral. Lineage: Eukaryota; Metazoa; Chordata; Mammalia; Primates; Hominidae.
CCAAGGACUGGAUGUAAGCAGAUCUU